AGCGAACGCUGGCGGCAGGCCUAACACAUGCAAGUCGAACGAACCCUUCGGGGUUAGUGGCGGACGGGUGAGUAACACGUGGGAACGUACCUUUAGGUUCGGAACAACACAGGGAAACUUGUGCUAAUGCCGAAUGUGCCCUUCGGGGGAAAGGAUUUAUCGCCUUUAGAGCGGCCCGCGUCUGAUUAGCUUGUUGGUGAGGUAAAGGCUCACCAAGGCUUCGAUCAGUAGCUGGUCUGAGAGGAUGAUCAGCCACACUGGGACUGAGACACGGCCCAGACUCCUACGGGAGGCAGCAGUGGGGAAUCUUGCGCAAUGGGCGAAAGCCUGACGCAGCCAUGCCGCGUGAAUGAUGAAGGUCUUAGGAUUGUAAAAUUACUUUCACCGGGGAAGAUAAUGACGGUACCCGGAGAAGAAGACCCGGCUAACUUCGUG
Molecule: ribosomal RNA, 435 nt
Filed under: uncultured bacterium
Lineage: Bacteria
Description: bacterial SSU rRNA
Rfam family: Bacterial small subunit ribosomal RNA
Source: RNAcentral